GAACAUGGGUGGUCUUCAUUUUUGGCCAACAUGAAAGAAGCAGAUGUAAUAGUUAUAUUCAAAUAACUUAUAAAAUGAUUGGCUCAGUUAGAAGAAAACAAAUCUGAAAAGGAACAGAGAACGACGAGCGGAACCUUGAUGACGAUCUCAACGGCUCGAUGACUUAAAACUCUCAUGUACUGUCACUGUUUCUGCUGUAUUUCCGGCCAACUGUAUGUGUGUGUGUUCUUUGUAUUUAUUGUUCUCUUGGUUAAAGAUGAUGAAGAAAGGGUCGUUGGUUUUUUUUUUUGGUUAUGGAGCAACCAUGAAAGUUGACUCUUCUCUUCUGAAGAAGAAGAGGAGAUCGAUAGGGGUCUGUGGUUUUUUCUUUUUCUACGACUGGUUUGUCUUGGU
Molecule: long non-coding RNA, 393 nt
Filed under: Nicotiana benthamiana
Lineage: Eukaryota; Viridiplantae; Streptophyta; Magnoliopsida; Solanales; Solanaceae
Description: long non-coding RNA (NBEN_LNC018044)
Source: RNAcentral